UGGGGAAUAUUGCACAAUGGGCGCAAGCCUGAUGCAGCCAUGCCGCGUGUAUGAAGAAGGCCUUCGGGUUGUAAAGUACUUUCAGUCGGGAGGAAGGUGUCAAGGUUAAUAACCUUGGCAAUUGACGUUACCGACAGAAGAAGCACCGGCUAACUCCGUGCCAGCAGCCGCGGUAAUACGGAGGGUGCAAGCGUUAAUCGGAAUUACUGGGCGUAAAGCGCACGCAGGCGGUCUGUCAAGUCGGAUGUGAGAUCCCCGGGCUUAACCCGGGAAUUGCAUCUGAUACUGGUCAGCUAGAGUCUUGUAGAGGGGGGUAGAAUUCCAUGUGUAGCGGUGAAAUGCGUAGAGAUGUGGAGGAAUACCGGUGGCGAAGGCGGCCCCCUGGACAAAGACUGACGCUCAGGUGCGAAAGCGUGGGGAGCAAACAGG
This 429-nucleotide ribosomal RNA is filed under the name Chloroflexota bacterium. RNAcentral's name for it is "Chloroflexi bacterium partial 16S ribosomal RNA". It matches the Rfam family "Bacterial small subunit ribosomal RNA", at positions 355 to 776 of the family's 1533-position model. Lineage: Bacteria; Bacillati; Chloroflexota. The record is from RNAcentral.